Pelobates cultripes (western spadefoot toad) is the source of this 230-nucleotide non-coding RNA. The record is from the annotation of a GenBank genome assembly. Lineage: Eukaryota; Metazoa; Chordata; Amphibia; Anura; Pelobatidae.
AGCCUCAGUAAAGUCAAGCUGUUGUUUAAAUAGAGCAAUAAAAAUGAAUUAUGGCUAAACGCCUUCAAGCCCAAACCUUCUGGAUGGAAUCCCCAGUCCAGACUAAUACGUAAGAGUUCUUUUUUUUUUUUUUUUUUAUUUGUGUGCAAGUUACUGCAAUUGAUAUAGAUGAUGACAUUUUCAUUCAUAGAGAGCAUUUGAUUUAUGAGUUUAGGAAGAAUUGCAUCCAG